AGGGAAUAUUGCGCAAUGGACGGAAGUCUGACGCAGCGACGCCGCGUGAGCGAUGAAGGUCUUCGGAUCGUAAAGCUCUGUCCUUGGGGAAGAAGGCGAAAGCUUGACGGUACCCAAGAAGAAAGCCCCGGCUAACUACGUGCCAGCAGCCGCGGUAAUACGUAGGGGGCGAGCGUUGUCCGGAAUUACUGGGCGUAAAGGGUGCGUAGGCGGCCCUUUAAGUCGGAUGUGAAAGCCCGCGGCUUAACCGCGGAAUGGCAUUCGAAACUGGAGGGCUUGAGUGUCGGAGAGGGUAGUGGAAUUCCCAGUGUAGCGGUGAAAUGCGUAGAUAUUGGGAGGAACACCAGUGGCGAAGGCGGCUACCUGGACGAUAACUGACGCUGAGGCACGAAAGCUAGGGGAGCAAAC
Molecule: ribosomal RNA, 408 nt
Filed under: uncultured bacterium
Lineage: Bacteria
Description: bacterial SSU rRNA
Rfam family: Bacterial small subunit ribosomal RNA
Source: RNAcentral